CCCUUGUGGAGGAGGACGCCGAAGGUGGGGCUAAUGACUGGGGUGAAGUCGUAACAAGGUAGCCGUACCGGAAGGUGCGGCUGGAUCACCUCCUAACAGGGAGACAACAAAAUGUUUAAUAUUAUUAUUUUGUCACCUUAGGUCGAUCGGUAUCUCACGUUCUUAAUUUGUUAAGAAUUUCAUUUCCUAAGUUUUUCUAGGUCACACCCAUUAUUUUUCCUGGGCCAUUAGCUCAGGUGGUUAGAGCGCACCCCUGAUAAGGGUGAGGUCCCUGGUUCAAGUCCAGGAUGGCCCAUAUCUCUAUGUUGGGGGUAUAGCUCAGUUGGUAGAGCGCCUGCUUUGCAAGCAGGAUGUCAGCGGUUCGAGUCCGCUUACCUCCACUGAUUACCACCUCUUACAUAACUGGUAAAAAGGAAAUGUUUUGAGUUGUGAUCAUUAUUCUGAACGAAUCUAGCUUCCUAAUGAAAUCAUUAAGAUGCUGGACUCAUUGAAUUAAUUUCAUUGUUUUCAGAGAACCUUGACAACUGCAUAGAUUAUUUUUAAAGACAAUAAGCAUCUUUAAUGAUGCAGAUUUAUUAUUUGUGCGAAUGCAUUAAUAACAAUUCUAUUAAGCUGAUGCUUCAAUUUUUUGAAGUUAUUGGUCAAGCUACAAAGGGCUCACGGAGGAUACCUAGGCACACAGAGGCGAUGA
Molecule: unclassified non-coding RNA, 691 nt
Filed under: uncultured Prochlorococcus sp.
Lineage: Bacteria; Bacillati; Cyanobacteriota; Cyanophyceae; Synechococcales; Prochlorococcaceae
Description: partial may contain 16S ribosomal RNA, 16S-23S ribosomal RNA intergenic spacer, and 23S ribosomal RNA
Rfam family: Bacterial small subunit ribosomal RNA (bases 1-96)
Source: RNAcentral